UGGAGAUGGGAACAGCUACCAAGAGGAACGAGGGCAAGAGCUUCCUUGCAGGGCAGGAAAACCUCUAAGAACCCAUGAAGUACAAGGCAGCUGGGCAGCUCCACACCUUGGCCCAAAGCAUCACAAUCAGACUACCUGGACCAAUCCAGCACUCUGACCUCAGACAGCACCUUGCAGUGGGAACACUGGAAGGCGAGAGUGGAAAAUGGAGAACAGUCAGGGGCUUCAAGAGUUCUCAGCAUGCCUCAGAAAAGAAAGCAGAAAUCACAAUGUUACCUGACCACUGAACCACAAGACAGACUGCAGUCUCCUACUGAGCUCUGGCCCUGAGCUAAUCAGGAUAACCCCCUCAACGCCUGGGGAAAAGAACAUUUCAUUAUUGUUCUUCAUAUUCAAAGACUAGCUUUAGAGGAAGUGGUCAUUAGGCAGGUGCAGGGCGUGACUGAAAAGACUCACUGGGACUCAGUCCUUCCCAUGCUGUGCACAUGGAUACUGUCGUUUCCUCCAGGGGCAGCUGCAUCUGUUGUUCUCAGGCAGUGACACUGGCUCCCUAACACCUGUCUUCCUGAGCCCUUGAGCAAACAGACCCACCCUGUUUUCUGUUGUUGAAGAGCACAUACCAUAGGGUGGCUCAAAGAAGUGGCCUCUGCUCAGCCCCACUCUCUUGGCCCAUUUGCCAUGUUUCUGCGGGGUUGUUUGCAUUAUCCUGCCUGUCCAGGUCCCACUUGCUCAAGGUUAGCCCCUGAUCCAGUUUUAGCCCUGUUCUCCCACUAUCCCAUUGCUUCUGAUUCUGCAGCUCCUCCUCUACCAUCCCAGUCCAUUAUCUGCUCUGAGACCAGAGAAACCUAUGUAUUUCAUCAGAUCAUGACACUAGUUUGAACAAGUAUAUAGCUCCCCACUGCUCUGGGGAUGAACCCAGACUCUGCCAGCUAAGAGGCACUGUGCCAGGAGCCACCUGGGCUGCAUAUUCCAGGGCUAGGGGCUCUGCAUCAUCCUCAAUUCCAGAUUCUCACAGAAGAUGCUGCCUUUGCCUGGAACAAUGUCCCCCUUUCCCCUGGUCUCCUACUCUAAGCAGCUUCUACUUAUCCUUUGGUUGAGACACCCCUUCCAAUACGGACUCCUUUCUGAGCCUCUUCUUUAGGAAAAUACAUUUGGACAGCAACUCUAUUGUUCAUAUUCACACUCAUUGUUUAGCCUGCCACUUGUCUGAACCUCCCAUUAAGUAGGAAUUCUAUGAAGAUAAUGAUCCAGUCUCUCUAGUUCACAGUUAAGUCAGCUAUACCUAGUGCCAUGCCUAUCAUAUAACAGGCACUUGUUAAAUAGCCCAUUGAAUGAAUGUCCAUCUUUCUUCACUGAGUAAAGUUUACUAGAAUAAAAUUAUAUGAGCA
Molecule: long non-coding RNA, 1388 nt
Filed under: Chinchilla lanigera (long-tailed chinchilla)
Lineage: Eukaryota; Metazoa; Chordata; Mammalia; Rodentia; Chinchillidae
Description: lncRNA (ENSCLAG00000024567.1)
Source: RNAcentral